Molecule: long non-coding RNA, 1071 nt
Filed under: Oryctolagus cuniculus (rabbit)
Lineage: Eukaryota; Metazoa; Chordata; Mammalia; Lagomorpha; Leporidae
Description: lncRNA (ENSOCUG00000033932.1)
Source: RNAcentral
AUGUUUCCCCCUCCGUGCAGGGCCGAGGGCUGGUCUGAAAUGUCAUUUGUCAAGGCGAGGCAGGGAGAGGUGAGGCCUGCAUGCUCCCUGCCCCCCCCCCCCACGGCGCUGCGGCGGGCCAUUUGUCUUGUGAGAGCGUGGCGGGGCUCCGCGGCCAGCCGGCUGCUGGGCCCAGUGCCUAUUGAUCAGCGCUGUGGGCUCUGGCAGGGCUGGCGGGCGGCGGCGGGGGGAGGAGCUGCCCGGGGAGCGAGAUUAGAACAGCGGGUAUCGAGCACCUGCUGUGUGCCCCAGCCCGGCCUCCGGCCGCCUGCCCCCCCCCCGCAGCGGGGCCUUGCUGCUGCCCCUGGAGCCGAGCCUGACCCUCAGGGCCUCCCAGGCAGGCUCCAGCCCCAGCCCUUCGUUCACUCGGUCACUCGUUCCGUCCACGGAGCAGCCUUGGAGGUGCAGGGCGGCAGGGCAGGGGGCGGCACCAGAAGACCUGGCCUCCUGCCCCCCACCCCCACCCCCAGCCUGGCCCUGGACGCCCGAGCCAGGCUGACCGCGUGUUGCCCCCCCGACCUGAGGGGCUGCCAUUCCUGCCGGUGCUGCUGGCUGCUCUGCAGCUUCCGGGGAGGGGUCUUCAGGCCCCCGGCUGGGGCUUGGUCACGGCAGGGGCUACAGGACAGCCCCAGCCCCAGGCCCCACCAGCGGGACCUCUCAGAGGACACAUGGGAGAUGUGUGGGAAGACCCACAGCUACCUUCCAGGUGUGAUGCUGGGAGCCACGGCAGCCCUCGCACAGCCAGGAGGAGGCGAAGAAGAGGACGAAGAGCACCAGAGAGAAGAGGCUGCCUUGCUUCCUGCAGCCGGACUCCUCCUGCCACGGGAGACGUCCGUGGCCUCCUUGUCCACGCUCUGUCAGCUGAGCCCGUCUGUGCCGGGAGGAGCAGUAUCCCACACCAGGAGGGGCUUUGCAAUGGGGACAGCACCCCGGGCCUUCUGGGCGAGUUGGGAGGCAGGAGGGUCAGGGACAGUGGUCCACAGAACUGGCCACAAGCCACCGAAUGUGGCAGCCUCUAGGAGGAGGAUGUAG